AGAGUUUGAUCCUGGCUCAGGACGAACGCUGGCGGCAUGCCUAAUACAUGCAAGUCGAACGAGCUUCCGUUGAAUGACGUGCUUGCACUGAUUUCAACAAUGAAGCGAGUGGCGAACUGGUGAGUAACACGUGGGAAAUCUGCCCAGAAGCAGGGGAUAACACUUGGAAACAGGUGCUAAUACCGUAUAACAACAAAAUCCGCAUGGAUUUUGUUUGAAAGGUGGCUUCGGCUAUCACUUCUGGAUGAUCCCGCGGCGUAUUAGUUAGUUGGUGAGGUAAAGGCCCACCAAGACGAUGAUACGUAGCCGACCUGAGAGGGUAAUCGGCCACAUUGGGACUGAGACACGGCGGUUGACGGUAUUUAACCAGAAAGCCACGGCUAACUACGUGCCAGCAGCCGCGGUAAUACGUAGGUGGCAAGCGUUGUCCGGAUUUAUUGGGCGUAAAGCGAGCGCAGGCGGUUUUUUAAGUCUGAUGUGAAAGCCUUCGGCUUAACCGGAGAAGUGCAUCGGAAACUGGGAGACUUGAGUGCAGAAGAGGACAGUGGAACUCCAUGUGUAGCGGUGGAAUGCGUAGAUAUAUGGAAGAACACCAGUGGCGAAGGCGGCUGUCUAGUCUGUAACUGACGCUGAGGCUCGAAAGCAUGGGUAGCGAACAGGAUUAGAUACCCUGGUAGUCCAUGCCGUAAACGAUGAGUGCUAAGUGUUGGAGGGUUUCCGCCCUUCAGUGCUGCAGCUAACGCAUUAAGCACUCCGCCUGGGGAGUACGACCGCAAGGUUGAAACUCAAAGGAAUUGACGGGGGCCCGCACAAGCGGUGGAGCAUGUGGUUUAAUUCGAAGCUACGCGAAGAACCUUACCAGGUCUUGACAUCUUCUGCCAAUCUUAGAGAUAAGACGUUCCCUUCGGGGACAGAAUGACAGGUGGUGCAUGGUUGUCGUCAGCUCGUGUCGUGAGAUGUUGGGUUAAGUCCCGCAACGAGCGCAACCCUUAUUAUCAGUUGCCAGCAUUCAGUUGGGCACUCUGGUGAGACUGCCGGUGACAAACCGGAGGAAGGUGGGGAUGACGUCAAAUCAUCAUGCCCCUUAUGACCUGGGCUACACACGUGCUACAAUGGACGGUACAACGAGUCGCGAAGUCGUGAGGCUAAGCUAAUCUCUUAAAGCCGUUCUCAGUUCGGAUUGUAGGCUGCAACUCGCCUACAUGAAGUUGGAAUCGCUAGUAAUCGCGGAUCAGCAUGCCGCGGUGAAUACGUUCCCGGGCCUUGUACACACCGCCCGUCACACCAUGAGAGUUUGUAACACCCAAAGCCGGUGAGAUAACCUUCGGGAGUCAGCCGUCUAAGGUGGGACAGAUGAUUAGGGUGAAGUCGUAACAAGGUAGCCGUAGGAGAACCUGCGGCUG
RNAcentral lists this ribosomal RNA (1403 nucleotides) under Levilactobacillus brevis. RNAcentral describes it as "bacterial SSU rRNA". It matches the Rfam family "Bacterial small subunit ribosomal RNA". The record is from RNAcentral. Lineage: Bacteria; Bacillati; Bacillota; Bacilli; Lactobacillales; Lactobacillaceae.